Oncorhynchus tshawytscha (Chinook salmon) is the source of this 917-nucleotide long non-coding RNA. Lineage: Eukaryota; Metazoa; Chordata; Actinopteri; Salmoniformes; Salmonidae. The record is from Ensembl.
GCGGGAUGUGCCCUAGUGGGUUAAACCGGUAUGGCGGCUUGUUAGACAAAAGGGGAGUGGGGGUCAGCUGAGAAGACACUACUGAGUUGAUAAUUGUAACAAUUGAAAUGCUAAUACUUUGCACAUGAACGUUCACUCAUUUGGGAAUAAUUGCAAUCAAUAUAUAUAUUUACGCUCAGUGUGUCAUCGGGAUCUCUGUUGAAAAGUUUGUUUCUGUUGGAGAGUUUGUCCGCCCUCUCUCUCUCGCUGUCGUGGUUAGAAUGGAUAAUUCAGAGUGACGUUCAUUCAGGUCGUUAUAGAAUAGAUGUUUCUGCGGUUGUCGGUCUUCGCGUUCAAUGAUACCGAAUUCCUAGCUGCAGACUAGUAAUUAAUAUCAAAGACUUGCUCUUAUUCUGUCGGUAUCGAUAGUCUUAGAGUUUAACCACGUGGGAUGGUUAAAAGAUUCAGCAAUCUACUCAAACCCUUAUUUCCCUCUGUGACAGAGGUACUGGUCUGAUCUCAAACCUUGGCCCUCUCGUUAUUGAGGUAAGCUGGUCUGGUGAUAGAAAACCCAGGUGGGGGUUUUAUUCGGAACAUCGAAAGGGGCUGUCUCAUGACGCCCGGUCCUGUCUGUGCCCCUGGGAGUGUUCUCAUGACGCCAGGUCCUGUCUGUGCCCCUGGGGGUGUUCUCAUGACGUCAGGUCCUGUCUGUGCCCCUGGGGGUGUUCUCAUGAUGCCAGGUCCUGUCUGUGCCCCUGGGGGUGUUCUCAUGACGCCAGGUCCUGUCUGUGCAACUGGGGGUGUUCUCAUGACGCCAGGUCCUGUCUGUGCCCCUGGGGGUGUUCCCAUGACGCCAGGUCCUGUCUGUGCCCCUGGGGGUGUUCCCAUGACGCCAGGUCCUGUCUGUGCAACUGGGGGUGUUCUCAUGACGCCAGGUC